RNAcentral lists this ribosomal RNA (253 nucleotides) under uncultured bacterium. Its description in RNAcentral is "partial 16S ribosomal RNA". It matches the Rfam family "Bacterial small subunit ribosomal RNA", at positions 524 to 776 of the family's 1533-position model. The record is from RNAcentral.
UACGGGGGGGGUAAGCGUUGUUCGGAAUUACUGGGCGUAAAGGGCUCGUAGGCGGCCAACUAAGUCAUACGUGAAAUCCCUCAGCUUAACUGGGGAACUGCGUGUGAUACUGGAUGGCUUGGAUUUGGGAGAGGGAUGCGGAAUUCCAGGUGUAGCGGUGAAAUGCGUAGAUAUCCGGAGGAACACCGAUGGCGAAGGCAGCCUCCUGGCCUCUGACUGACGCUGAGACGCGAAAGCGUGGGGAGCAAACAGG